Molecule: long non-coding RNA, 265 nt
Filed under: Elaeis guineensis (African oil palm)
Lineage: Eukaryota; Viridiplantae; Streptophyta; Magnoliopsida; Arecales; Arecaceae
Description: long non-coding RNA (EGUI_LNC011106)
Source: RNAcentral
CCAACUUCAUGUUCUUCUAUGCAAACCCAUUUCUCCGUAUGAACAUGUAGACGGCUUUACUUGUAUCACACUUGAAUCCACAAUGUGAUGGACCUAAAUUGCAUGCCCUCAUUAAAUCAUACAAAUUAUAAUUUCUCAUAUUUUUACUAAAUUUUAAUGCAACAUACUCCGCUGAUGUUUAAUUCAUCAUCCUAGGAUCUGUUGAGGAAUGUCCAGCCAAAUCUGAUAGGAUCAGCUAGAGAUGGAUAGCCAGCCGCAGAAAAAA